This 374-nucleotide ribosomal RNA is filed under the name uncultured bacterium. Its description in RNAcentral is "bacterial SSU rRNA". It matches the Rfam family "Bacterial small subunit ribosomal RNA", at positions 99 to 507 of the family's 1533-position model. The record is from RNAcentral.
CGCACGGGUGAGUAACACGUGACUUAUCUAACCCUCGAGUGGGGAAUAACUUGGGAAACCAGGCUAAUACCGCAUAAUACCCACGGGUCAAAGGAGCAAUUCGCUUGAGGAGGAGGUCGCGGCCGAUUAGUAGUUGGCGGGGUAAUGGCCCCACCAAGACGGUGAUCGGUAUCCGGCCUGAGAGGGCGCACGGACACACUGGAACUGAAACACGGUCCAGACUCCUACGGGAGGCAGCAGUGGGGAAUUUUGCGCAAUGGGGGAAACCCUGACGCAGCAACGCCGCGUGGAGGAUGAAGUCUCUUGGACGUAAACUCCUUUCGAUCGGGACGAUUAUGACGGUACCGGAAGAAGAAGCCCCGGCUAACUUCGUG